RNAcentral lists this ribosomal RNA (460 nucleotides) under uncultured bacterium. Its description in RNAcentral is "partial 16S ribosomal RNA". It matches the Rfam family "Bacterial small subunit ribosomal RNA", at positions 338 to 795 of the family's 1533-position model. The record is from RNAcentral.
CCUACGGGAGGCAGCAGUGAGGAAUAUUGGUCAAUGGACGAGAGUCUGAACCAGCCAAGUAGCGUGAAGGAUGACUGCCCUAUGGGUUGUAAACUUCUUUUAUAUGGGAAUAAAAUGUUCCACGUGUGGGAUUUUGUAUGUACCAUAUGAAUAAGGAUCGGCUAACUCCGAGCCAGCAGCCGCGGUAAUACGGAGGAUCCGAGCGUUAUCCGGAUUUAUUGGGUUUAAAGGGAGCGUAGGUGGAUUGUUAAGUCAGUUGUGAAAGUUUGCGGCUCAACCGUAAAAUUGCAGUUGAAACUGGCAGUCUUGAGUACAGUAGAGGUGGGCGGAAUUCGUGGUGUAGCGGUGAAAUGCUUAGAUAUCACGAAGAACUCCGAUUGCGAAGGCAGUUCACUGGACUGCAACUGACACUGAGGCUCGAAAGUGUGGGUAUCAAACAGGAUUAGAUACCCCUGUAGUC